GUAAGUAAAAUUUCCAGUGAACUAAACAUUGGUGACUGGGCAAACACGACAGAAUGCCACUAAUGAUUUUUGGGUUGCCUUCCAAUGCACAGGAAGCAGUCCUACCUUGAAAUGUUUGAAAAGUGUACUGAAAGCAUUAAAUAAAAGCCAGGUCCUUGUCCUUUCUUAAAAACAGCCUGUGUGAUGAUAAGCAAAUGCUGACUGAAUAUGAAGGUCUUAAUUAGCUCUAUCUGAUUUCAGGCAUUUUAAAAAUUUGUGGGGCGAAAAUUUGUCUUUGGCUAUAGAAAACCACUCUUUUAUUUCUUAGGUGAACUUGAAUCCUUGACCUGUCAAAAGCAGUUGGCCUUUUUGAUGAUGGCUACAUGUUUUUUUCUAUGGAUGACUUCUUUGGGGUGUGAAGAGAGGUAGAGACUACGUCCAUGCAAGGAACCAAGAGUUCUAACCAAAGGUAUGGAAGUCUCAAAUUUGGUUUUUGUGUUUUGUGAUUUAAAGCCGAUACAAUGAUGAAAACAUAGUUCAGCAGACUAACAGUGAUGAGCAAAUACUGUCUUUCGCUCCUAUCUGAUGUAUCUGGCUACAACAAUUCUGUUUUAUACCUUUGAAAGUGGAAAUUAGUCAUAUUAGUCUUUGUCUCACUGAAAUGUUCAGGAUUUGGAUAAGUAUAAUGUAAGUGUCCUAUAUAGUUAAUUUCAGGAUUAGGAGUUAACAUUUUGAUAAGAACAGGCUAAAACUGAGGAAAUUUCCAUGUCAUAACUGU
This 757-nucleotide long non-coding RNA is filed under the name Bos taurus (domestic cattle). RNAcentral describes it as "long non-coding RNA NONBTAT008021". The stretch from base 176 to 236 matches the Rfam family "Small nucleolar RNA SNORD44". The record is from RNAcentral. Lineage: Eukaryota; Metazoa; Chordata; Mammalia; Artiodactyla; Bovidae.